Molecule: ribosomal RNA, 484 nt
Filed under: uncultured bacterium
Lineage: Bacteria
Description: partial 16S ribosomal RNA
Rfam family: Bacterial small subunit ribosomal RNA
Source: RNAcentral
AUUGAACGCUGGCGGCAGGCCUAACACAUGCAAGUCGAGCGGAUGAAGGGAGCCUGCUCCUGGAUUCAGCGGCGGACGGGUGAGUAAUGCCUAGGAAUCUGCCUGGUAGUGGGGGAUAACGUCCGGAAACGGGCGCUAAUACCGCAUACGUCCUGAGGGAGAAAGUGGAGGAUCUUCGGACCUCACGCUAUCAGAUGAGCCUAGGUCGGAUUAGCUAGUUGGUGGGGUAAAGGCCUACCAAGGCGACGAUCCGUAACUGGUCUGAGAGGAUGAUCAGUCACACUGGAACUGAGACACGGUCCAGACUCCUACGGGAGGCAGCAGUGGGGAAUAUUGGACAAAGGGCGAAAGCCUGAUCCAGCCAUGCCGCGUGUGUGAAGAAGGUCUUCGGAUUGUAAAGCACUUUAAGUUGGGAGGAAGGGCAGUAAGUUAAUACCUUGCUGUUUUGACGUUACCAACAGAAUAAGCACCGGCUAACUUCGUG